Molecule: ribosomal RNA, 328 nt
Filed under: uncultured eukaryote
Lineage: Eukaryota
Description: partial 18S ribosomal RNA
Rfam family: Eukaryotic small subunit ribosomal RNA
Source: RNAcentral
CCCUUAGAUGUCCUGGGCCGCACGCGCGUUACACUGAUGCAUUCAACGAGCUUAUAACCUCGGCCGAGAGGCCUGGGCAAUCUUGUUAACGUGCAUCGUGAUAGGGAUAGAUUAUUGAAAUUAUUAAUCUUGAACGAGGAAUUCCUAGUAAACGCAGAUCAUCAAUCUGCAUUGAUUACGUCCCUGCCCUUUGUACACACCGCCCGUCGCACCUACCGAUUGGAUGGUCCGGUGAAGCCUCGGGAUUGUGGUUCUUGCCGCUUUAUUGUGGCGUGACCGCGAGAACUUGUCUAAACCUUAUCAUCUAGAGGAAGGUGAAGUCGUAACA